RNAcentral lists this ribosomal RNA (253 nucleotides) under uncultured bacterium. RNAcentral's name for it is "partial 16S ribosomal RNA". It matches the Rfam family "Bacterial small subunit ribosomal RNA", at positions 524 to 776 of the family's 1533-position model. The record is from RNAcentral.
UACGGAGGGAGCUAGCGUUGUUCGGAAUUACUGGGCGUAAAGCGCACGUAGGCGGCUAUUCAAGUCAGAGGUGAAAGCCCGGGGCUCAACCCCGGAACUGCCUUUGAAACUAGGUAGCUAGAAUCUUGGAGAGGUCAGUGGAAUUUCGAGUGUAGAGGUGAAAUUCGUAGAUAUUCGGAAGAACACCAGUGGCGAGGGCGACUGACUGGACAAGUAUUGACGCUGAGGUGCGAAAGCGUGGGGAGCAAACAGG